Molecule: ribosomal RNA, 254 nt
Filed under: uncultured bacterium
Lineage: Bacteria
Description: partial 16S ribosomal RNA
Rfam family: Bacterial small subunit ribosomal RNA
Source: RNAcentral
GACAGAGGGUGCAAACGUUGUUCGGAAUUACUGGGCGUAAAGCGUGUGUAGGCGGCCUUAUAAGUCGGAUGUGAAAGCCCCCGGGCUCAACCCGGGAAGUGCACUCGAUACUGUGAGGCUCGAGUAUCGGAGAGGUUGGUGGAAUUCUCGGUGUAGAGGUGAAAUUCGUAGAUAUCGAGAGGAACACCGGUGGCGAAAGCGGCCAACUGGACGAAUACUGACGCUGAGACACGAAAGCGUGGGGAGCAAACAGG